This 484-nucleotide ribosomal RNA is filed under the name uncultured bacterium. Its description in RNAcentral is "partial 16S ribosomal RNA". It matches the Rfam family "Bacterial small subunit ribosomal RNA", at positions 30 to 507 of the family's 1533-position model. The record is from RNAcentral.
AUUGAACGCUGGCGGCAGGCCUAACACAUGCAAGUCGAGCGGAUGAAGGGAGCUUGCUCCUGGAUUCAGCGGCGGACGGGUGAGUAAUGCCUAGGAAUCUGCCUGGUAGUGGGGGAUAACGUCCGGAAACGGGCGCUAAUACCGCAUACGUCCUGAGGGAGAAAGUGGUGGAUCUUCGGACCUCACGCUAUCAGAUGAGCCUAGGUCGGAUUAGCUAGUUGGUGGGGUAAAGGCCUACCAAGGCGACGAUCCGUUACUGGUCUGAGAGGAUGAUCAGUCACACUGGAGCUGAGACACGGACCAGGCUCCUACGGGAGGCAGCAGUGGGGAAUAUUGGACAGUGGGCGAAAGCCUGAUCCAGCCAUGGCGCGUGUGUGAAGAAGGGCUUCGGAUUGUAAAGCACGUUAAGUUGGGAGGAAGGGCAGUAAGUUAAUACCUUGCUGUUUUGACGGUACCAACAGAAUAAGCACCGGCUAACUUCGUG